RNAcentral lists this unclassified non-coding RNA (350 nucleotides) under uncultured fungus. RNAcentral's name for it is "partial contains small subunit ribosomal RNA, internal transcribed spacer 1, and 5.8S ribosomal RNA". The stretch from base 1 to 73 matches the Rfam family "Eukaryotic small subunit ribosomal RNA", at positions 1759 to 1831 of the family's 1831-position model. Lineage: Eukaryota; Fungi. The record is from RNAcentral.
UCAAACUUGGUCAUUUAGAGGAAGUAAAAGUCGUAACAAGGUUUCCGUAGGUGAACCUGCGGAAGGAUCAUCACCGAAUUCAUAUCCCCCUCCUCUCCCGGAGGGGGACCCAUGAUAAACCCUUCUGUGCACCGUAACCCGUUCACUUUGGCAGGCUUUGGUGGUGAGCGUGAGCUCGUCUCCAACCUCGCGUUCCUCCUCCCUAAGGGGGUGUUACGCGUGGCGGCCUGCCAGUCCUCCAUUAAAAACUCGUUUUCGAACGCGUCUGAAAAUUUCCUUUGAGAAAUCAAAGAACCGAAACAACUUUCAACAACGGAUCUCUUGGCUCUCGCAUCGAUGAAGAACGCAGC